Vicugna pacos (alpaca) is the source of this 872-nucleotide non-coding RNA. NCBI's taxonomy places the organism in Eukaryota, Metazoa, Chordata, Mammalia, Artiodactyla, Camelidae. The record is from RefSeq and is a predicted model, not a curated record.
UCUCGGAGUCGCCCGCGCCCUGCGGGGCCGGAGCGGGCUGGUGCCCGUGCCUCCCGCCGCCCCCCCCACUGAUCUGACUCCUUUAUAAUUUGGAAAAACUCCCAUUCUCACAAGCCCUCCCCUACAUGGACUCACGAAAAGCAUCUUGCUGUUGGGAACUCUUCCUCCACCUUAUGAAGAAGGCCAGGCUCGCUUGCUGAAGAGAUGGGGCUCCAUCUAGAGCCAGCGCCAAGCAACAGACACGUGAGUCAGCCCCAGCUGCGCCGCCCGCUGGCUGCAGGUGCAGAAGUGACCUUAGUUGAGACCGCAGACUGCCCCGAUGCGCCUCCACCAAGGGGUUAACAUGGGCCAUAAGCAAAUAAAGUAGUUCUCUAACGCAUUCUUAAUAAAUCAUGGUAAACAUGCAGAGUAGAGGAGGAAGAAAAGUGAAACAAUAUGUGUGGAAUAAAGAUAGAAGAGAGGAAGGGUGAAAUGUGAUUAGGGCCAUUUCUGUUCUUCGGGGACUUCCAAAAUCGUGGACAGGCAUGUACGCAGACCUGUGGUAGAUGGGCCCUUGGCCUCGUACUGUCCUUGUGGAUUUUUGAGAAUGACUGCCACUGUCAUUCUCAUUGAUUCACGGGGUUGUCCUGUUAUCACUGAUGAAUUCAAAAACAGUUAUCUUAGUAAAGCACAUUCUCAGGUACUAGACUCAACUAAAUUCCUGAUUAAGUAGAUUUUCCUAAAGAUUUCCUGAAAGCAGUGAGAUAAAUGUCUUAAAACCAAAAAAAUGUCAUAACUGCAAAGUGAUUGGGAGAGGCUUAUAGCUCAGUGGUUCAGUGCGUGCUUACUGCGCAUGAGGUCCUGGGUUCAAGCCCAAGUACCUCCAUUAACAU